ACCUAAAGAAGUAUUCUUAGGCCAGAGCAAACCCGGCCCCGAACCAUUGCCUGGCCUCUGCCAGUAGGCUGCAGGCACUGAAGUGGGUUGCACAGUG
This 97-nucleotide small nucleolar RNA is filed under the name Ovis aries (sheep). RNAcentral's name for it is "Small nucleolar RNA SNORA42/SNORA80 family (ENSOARG00000022554.1)". It matches the Rfam family "Small nucleolar RNA SNORA42/SNORA80 family". From Rfam's summary of the family: The members of this family belong to the H/ACA class of snoRNAs that guide the sites of modification of uridines to pseudouridines. Lineage: Eukaryota; Metazoa; Chordata; Mammalia; Artiodactyla; Bovidae. The record is from Rfam by way of RNAcentral.